UACGAAGGGGGCUAGCGUUUUUCGGAUUUACUGGGCGUAAAGCGCGUGUAGGCGGGUCGUUAAGUUGGGGGUGAAAUCCCGAGGCUCAACCUCGGAACUGCCUUCAAAACUGGCGACCUGGAGCAAGAUAGAGGCAAGUGGAAUUGCGAGUGUAGAGGUGAAAUUCGUAGAUAUUCGCAGGAACACCAGUGGCGAAGGCGACUUGCUGGAUCUUUGCUGACGCUGAGACGCGAAAGCGUGGGGAGCAAACAGG
This 253-nucleotide ribosomal RNA is filed under the name uncultured bacterium. Its description in RNAcentral is "partial 16S ribosomal RNA". It matches the Rfam family "Bacterial small subunit ribosomal RNA", at positions 524 to 776 of the family's 1533-position model. The record is from RNAcentral.